AACUCUGGUAUUGAUUGGUGCUUGCAUCAUGAUUUACAUUUGAGUGAGUGGCGAACUGGUGAGUAACACGUGGGAAACCUGCCCAGAAGCGGGGGAUAACACCUGGAAACAGAUGCUAAUACCGCAUAACAACUUGGACCGCAUGGUCCGAGCUUGAAAGAUGGCUUCGGCUAUCACUUUUGGAUGGUCCCGCGGCGUAUUAGCUAGAUGGUGGGGUAACGGCUCACCAUGGCAAUGAUACGUAGCCGACCUGAGAGGGUAAUCGGCCACAUUGGGACUGAGACACGGCCCAAACUCCUACGGGAGGCAGCAGUAGGGAAUCUUCCACAAUGGACGAAAGUCUGAUGGAGCAACGCCGCGUGAGUGAAGAAGGGUUUCGGCUCGUAAAACUCUGUUGUUAAAGAAGAACAUAUCUGAGAGUAACUGUUCAGGUAUUGACGGUAUUUAACCAGAAAGCCACGGCUAACUACGUGCCAGCAGCCGCGGUAAUACGUAGGUGGCAAGCGUUGUCCGGAUUUAUUGGGCGUAAAGCGAGCGCAGGCGGUUUUUUAAGUCUGAUGUGAAAGCCUUCGGCUCAACCGAAGAAGUGCAUCGGAAACUGGGAAACUUGAGUGCAGAAGAGGACAGUGGAACUCCAUGUGUAGCGGUGAAAUGCGUAGAUAUAUGGAAGAACACCAGUGGCGAAGGCGGCUGUCUGGUCUGUAACUGACGCUGAGGCUCGAAAGUAUGGGUAGCAAACAGGAUUAGAUACCCUGGUAGUCCAUACCGUAAACGAUGAAUGCUAAGUGUUGGAGGGUUUCCGCCCUUCAGUGCUGCAGCUAACGCAUUAAGCAUUCCGCCUGGGGAGUACGGCCGCAAGGCUGAAACUCAAAGGAAUUGACGGGGGCCCGCACAAGCGGUGGAGCAUGUGGUUUAAUUCGAAGCUACGCGAAGAACCUUACCAGGUCUUGACAUACUAUGCAAAUCUAAGAGAUUAGACGUUCCCUUCGGGGACAUGGAUACAGGUGGUGCAUGGUUGUCGUCAGCUCGUGUCGUGAGAUGUUGGGUUAAGUCCCGCAACGAGCGCAACCCUUAUUAUCAGUUGCCAGCAUUAAGUUGGGCACUCUGGUGAGACUGCCGGUGACAAACCGGAGGAAGGUGGGGAUGACGUCAAAUCAUCAUGCCCCUUAUGACCUGGGCUACACACGUGCUACAAUGGAUGGUACAACGAGUUGCGAACUCGCGAGAGUAAGCUAAUCUCUUAAAGCCAUUCUCAGUUCGGAUUGUAGGCUGCAACUCGCCUACAUGAAGUCGGAAUCGCUAGUAAUCGCGGAUCAGCAUGCCGCGGUGAAUACGUUCCCGGGCCUUGUACACACCGCCCGUCACACCAUGAGAGUUUGUAACACCCAAAGUCGGUGGGGUAACCUUUUAGGAACCAGCCGCCUAAGGUGGGACA
This 1435-nucleotide ribosomal RNA is filed under the name Lactiplantibacillus plantarum. RNAcentral's name for it is "bacterial SSU rRNA". It matches the Rfam family "Bacterial small subunit ribosomal RNA". The record is from RNAcentral. Lineage: Bacteria; Bacillati; Bacillota; Bacilli; Lactobacillales; Lactobacillaceae.